Molecule: ribosomal RNA, 3030 nt
Filed under: Ctenocephalides felis (cat flea)
Lineage: Eukaryota; Metazoa; Arthropoda; Insecta; Siphonaptera; Pulicidae
Description: eukaryotic LSU rRNA
Rfam family: Eukaryotic large subunit ribosomal RNA
Source: RNAcentral
ACCAGACGUUACGGAGAUACGGAAGAAAGAGUGCAGAAAAUGCAAAUCAAGUUUUUGAGAGAACGGAGUAUCCGAUUUGAAUGAUCUAAAAAACAUUAAAUUUGUAAUGAUUGGGAGAAGAGGUGAUUAGUUUUUGGCAAGACAGGUCUAGCCAUUUCAAAGAUACAGAGAUAAAUGUGCAAAGACUAACAGUUUUUGAGAGUACUAAGCGUCCGAUUUGGAUGAUUCAAAAAACUUUCUGCUUGUUUUAACAAAAUAAUUGCUUUUGGCAAAAAAUUAUUUGUUUCAAUUUUUUUCCAAAACAAAUUUUUUAAAUUUUGUUUUAAAUUUUUUUUGUAUAUCGAAAAUAAUAUAAUUUUAAUUCUAACUAAAGUUUUAAUAUAUUUUAAAUAAAUAAUUUCAACUUUGAAAUGUAGUUUAUAUUAUUCUUAUAAAUAUUCGACAAUGUCACAGAGUAUUUAUAAUGAUCUAUUUGAAAACAUUUAAUAUUCCUCAAACAUUUCAUUGCGGUACGAGAAAUUCUAGUAAUUUGCCUUAAGGCACGAUGCCAUACACCACUAGUUGCUAUUCAAUCUUGGCUCCAUUUUUACACGGAUGACGGACCGCAUCUACGGAUGCGUGCUUGCAAUCCCGGGGCGUCUCACUCUCAUUGCGAGAAGAGACGCACUCAGAGCGUACACGCUAGGACCCGAAAGAUGGUGAACUAUGCCCGGUCAGGUGGAAGUCAGGGGAAAACCUGAUGGAGGACCGUAGCGAUUCUGACGUGCAAAUCAAUCGUCGGAACUGGGUAUAGGGGUGAAAGACUAAUCGAACCAUCUGGUAGCUGGUUCCCUCCAAAGUUUCACUCAGGAUAGCUGGCAUUCGAUAAGCGAGUCUCAUCCGUAAAGCGAAUGAUUAGAGGCCUUGGGGCCGAAACGACAUCAACCUAUUAUCAUUAAAUGGGUGAGAUCUCUGGCUUGUUUGAAUAGUAAAGCCAGAGAUUUAGAUUAGAGUGCCUAGUGGGCCACUUUUGGUAAGCAGAACUGGCGCUGUGGGAUGAACCAAACGUCAUGAAAGACGUUGGUUGCUCAAGACAGUAGGUCGGUGGCCAUGGAAGUUGGAAUCCAAUAAAGAGUGUGUACCAACUCACCUGCCAAAGCAACCAGCGCUGAAAAUGCAUGGCGCUGUAGCGUCGUGCCUAUACUCGGCCGCCAGGGCAUGAGAAGCAUUCAUAAUAGUUUGUUUUGACGCCCUGGUGAGUAGGAAGGUCGCGGUGAUGUGCGCAGAAGGGUUUGGGCGUAAGCCUGCCUGGAUCCGCCAUCGGUGCAGGUCUUGGUGGUAGUAGCAAGUACUCCAGCGAGGCCCUGGAGGACUGACGUAGAGAAGGGUUUCGUGUGAACAGCCGUUGCACACGAGUCAGUCGAUCCUAAGCCUCAGGAGAAAUCCUAUGUUGAUGUUGGUGUAUUUUAUUUUGAAUAAAAUUUCACACCCAUCGGGCGAAAGGGAAUCCGGUUCCUACACCGGAACCCGGCAGCGGAACCGUUUACAAGUCAGUCCCUCGCAAGAGAGUUCGUCAGGGUAAUCCAAAAUGACCUGGAGACGCCGUCGGGAAAUACGGGGAGAGUUUUCUUUUCUGUAUGAGCGUUCGAGUUCCCUGGAAUCCUCUAGAAGGGAGAUAGGGUUUGGAACGCAAAGAGCACCGCUGUUGCGGCGGUGUCCGUAUCUUUCCCUCGGACUUUGAAAAUCCAGGAGAGGGCCACGGUAGGUGUAGCGCCGGUUCGUACUCAUAUCCGCAGCAGGUCUCCGAGGUGAAGAACCUCUAGUCGAUAGAUAAAUGUAGGUAAGGGAAGUCGGCAAAUUGGAUCCGUAAGUUCGGGAUAAGGAUUGACUCUGAGGAUCGGGGCGUGCCGGGCCUGGACGAGGUAAAAUUGUCCUUGUGACUUAGAUCCGAGCUCGUUCCCGUGCCUAGGCCCCCCGCGGAUCUUUCUUGCUGCGAGGUUUCUGUACCGGCUUCGGUCGGUCAGAACUGACACGGACUAGUAGAAUCCGACUGUUUAAUUAAAACAAAGCAUUGCGAUGGCCCUAGCGGGUGUUGUCAUCUUCCAACUCUGGGGUAUGCCGUGCGAUCGGACACUGACUAAAUUCUGCUGUUCCCUAAAGAAGUAGGUUGCGGAAAUAACUUGCGAGGGAUUCUCUACAUCAGUGCUGAAUUGGAUCAGUAGCUAUAUAGAUCCGCUUUGCUGUUACUGAACUCCAGUACUGGUGGUUUUCUCUUGCCACAUCCGGUGGCGAUUUUGAUGGAAGGUGAUAGUGCGAUGGUAAAUCUUGUUAAUUCUGCGUCACUAUAGACGCUUGAUUGAAUUGUGGCAAUUAGGGUGCCAAUGUCUUGACACGGUGCUCUUGUCACGAGGAAAUUAAGCGUCUUAAUCGCGACUGGUCAAUAUCACACCAGGAAAUGUCCCACUUCCAUCAUCGUCAUCUAGCGUCAUCUAACUAGUGACGCGCAUGAAUGGAUUAACGAGAUUCCCACUGUCCCUAUCUACUUUCUAGCGAAACCACUGCCAAGGUAACGGGCUAGGAAAAAUUAGCGGGGAAAGAAGACCCUGUUGAGCUUGACUCAAGUCUGGCAUUGUAAGGAGACAUGAAAGGUGUAGCAUAAGUGGAAGAUAGUAAUAUCGUCGGUGAAAUGCCACUACUUUCAUCGUUUCUUUACUUACUCGAUUGGGCGGAAAGCGUGCGUCAAAAACUUGCGUUUCGACUGUCACGGUUUUCUGGGGCGGAACAUCUGUCAAAUAAUAACGCAGGUGUCCUAAGGCCAGCUCAGCGAGGACAGAAACCUCGCGUAGAGCAAAAGUGCAAAUGCUGGCUUGAUCCUGUUGUUCAGUGUGCUUUGAAGCGAAAGCACGGCAUAUCGAUCCUUAUGGCUUGAGAGUUUUCAGCAAGAGGUGUCAGAAAAGUUACCACAGGGAUAACUGUGGCAGCCAAGCGUUCAUAGCGACGUUGCUUUUUUAUCUUUCGAUGUUGGCUCUUCUCAUCAUUGCAAAGCAGAAU